This 4891-nucleotide long non-coding RNA is filed under the name Gallus gallus (chicken). Lineage: Eukaryota; Metazoa; Chordata; Aves; Galliformes; Phasianidae. The record is from RNAcentral.
CAGGCUGCCAAGCUUUCACAUCCACCUGCGAGGCGGCGGCGGGCGGGCGGGAGAGAGGGAGGGAGGAAGCGGCGCCGCUCCGCCCGCCGGGUCCGGCCCCACGCAGGAAGCGGCCGUGUGUGUGUGUGAGAGCGUGUGUGCGGAGCGGAGGGGCGGCGCUGCCCGCGGAGGAGGCGGCCCCGGCCCCGGCGGUUUCCCGACGCGCUGAGCUCAGCCGCACGGCACCUCCCCCGGCCGCUGUUGGGGCGGGCCCGGCACGCAGCGGGGCGGCCCCGGAGGGCCGGGGCUGAGGGGCGCCGAGCCGAGGGAGGGGCGGUGGCUGAUGGUGCCCCGUACCCCCGGGGUGCUCUGCCUGGGCGGGGUGCGGCGCGGCGAGAGCUGUGCGGUGGGCUCCGCAACGGGGAGGUGUAGAGGUGCUGGGAGAAGAGUGGAGCGCUGAGGCGUUUCGUUGGGUCAGCUCGGGAGCCGACUGACCUGCAGGAAGGACGCGGCCCUGAUUUGGUGCCCUAGCGCAGCCUGUCAGCCCCUUCUCGCCAUCAGGAGAGCCCCAGCCCGGCUGCUCGGUCAGCUUUCUGUCUCUUUCUGCUGUGACCUUCACCGCUUCUCCUCAGGACUCCCCAUCUCUGCAGGAACGCCGCGGCUGCCUGCCCUCUCUCUGAAUGCUUUAGCUCAGCUCCACUUCUGGGCCAGCCCCAAACUCCCCUCUCUGCCCUCUGCCGCACUGGAGGAGUUACCUGCGUACAUUGCUAAUACAGCAGUCUUAAGCCUUGUGCCUUUUUCCUUCUCUGGUUAAUGAGUCAUACUUUGGAGUGAGUGCGCUGCCCAGAAGCGGUCUUUGCCCCAUGCCCACAGAUGCACAGUGGUGAUCCCAUGAAGUGGAGACAGGUCCCAGUUACUCAGCCGGCAUUUAACAUGCACGUGUUGCAAAAUGAAUGACAUGUACCAUCGUUUUCCCAUGGAGUUGCUGCAUACGGUCUGUUACAGGCUUGCACGUGUACGUAGCCUUACUCCUGUGCAUAGCUCUAAGCCAGCCGGACUGCUUCCAGUGCACAAAACUAAGCAUGGAUACAGGUCUUUCCAUGGUGAGAUGCUUAAUGCAAGGCGAUUGCAGCAAGCGGGGAGGGGAAGUGGAAAACAAGGGUGACAGCAAUAAAAUUACACUGGAAUUUUGGUACGUUGUCUACAAACCAUGCGGUUUCUUCUUUGCUUCCUAGCUAAAUAGGUGAGUUUCUGAGGCUCCUGCACUGCAGACAUGCACACGUCACUUCAGGCUCUUCCAUAGUGCCAUUGCAUGUGGCUGGACAACAUAUGCAGAAAAUUAUGAUAUAUAACCUUGCAGGGAAACGUCUCGGAUGCUUUCUUAUGUAUUAAAUGUGGUGCACAGAAAUAAAGUAGAGAAGUGAGAAAGGGAGAAAAAGCAAAGGUGAGAGUGAAGAUGAAUGAGUGGCAGAGGAUGAAGAGGGGAACAGACAGCACACAGAACAGCCUGAUAAGUGAACACAUUUUGAGUGGAACCAGAACAGCAAACCGUUUUACCAACCCAAAUGUGCAGCUGUCAGUUGCAAUAAAACAAAAAGCCGCAAGAAGAAAAGCAAAGCAAUGCAGUAUGUACUGGUAUCUAAACGUCUAGAGGGAUUCAGCACAUCGGUAACGAUAUUCUGAGGUCUCUUGGCUAAUGGUGGAGAGCAGAAGAGCAAUGGAGGUCAGGUUUUUAAAUUCUGCAUUGGGAGUCGGAGUGGUCGCUGCGGCAGUCUGAUGGUUUCCCCUGUAAACUGACGAGGGACAAAAGAGAAAGCUCUAUCCAGCUGCCUCCUAGGAGCCAUGCAGCGGAGAGCCUGCAGCUACGUAGGUGCCUUUUGACAGAAGCAUUCAAAACAGUCAAUUAGCAAAAUGCAGAAAGCACAGGGAGGAAAGAGCCAUUUCUGCACAAGCAGUACGCUAAAAUAAAUGACAGAGGUUUGUUUUGAUUUGGAAGGAGGACACAUUUAUUUUCUUGUUUGCUUUCUUAUUAUUUUCAUAGAGCAGGAUGACAAAGAGAUACUGAGGAAAAGCAGGGACUGCCCAGACCCUUCUACAAGGAGGAAAUACCUCAUGCACAGUGCAUUUUGUCAAGUAUACAAGGUUUAUGAAAACAAACAAACCAGUCUUUCCAAUUCGCUUUCGGGAGAACAUCUGAGAUUGAAACAUUCCGUCUAGAUAGUGGGGUAUUUAAUUCUGCUGCUGGCAGAAAUGUACAAAGUGCUCUAUCGGAAUACAAAAAUCCAAACAAAGCAUCCGGUGUGUCCUAAAGAGAUGGAAGCGCACACAGCACACUGUCAAAUGUGGAAUGGCAAAAAUCGUAGCAGCGCAAACAGAGGUGAGCAGACAGGGCUGAGAAAGAAAAGUGCUUCUUCCCUUAGUGAUGGGGAAUGGAGAAUGGAGAUGACGUGGAUGACCUUCUUCUAUUUUGGUAUAUUCUUCUCAUUGUCCGUGCUAGCGUGGACCACGGGUCUCAGCAUAGCGUCAGUACUUACAUGUGCAGCAGUGGUAUCUCGUAGGAAAUGAGGAUAUUGCCUCUGGAUGGAACAUCAAAUGUUUAUGUUCAAGUCUUUUAACUCGUUUGGAAGAGCAUCAAAUAUGGUGGAUAAAUGUUUCCGUCUCUCUGAUCCCACACCUAUCUCUCUCUCAGAAAUCUUCCUGUGACUGUUCGGCCUUCUUAAGCAGAAAAUCUCCAAAGCCAAACUCUUUUUCUUCUGUAGAUAAUUUUGUAUUUCCUACAGCCUCUGCCGUCAUCUGGUCUCCAGUCCAGCAUUUCUAGGGAAAAAAAAGAGAUAUCCUCAGCCUUUUCUGCCACACACAUUUGUGUCUCUGAACUUUCUCUCAUCUCGUUCUGAAGAACACUCUUUGUUUGGGAAUUCGCUUCUUUCCUACAUCUACCAGCUCAACUCUCUCACCAGAAAUGUAUUUUUUGGAGAGUUUAUCUUCAGCAUCCUUCAUCCUACAAAUCCAUCUUGCAGUAUUGCCCCAUAAACCGCCACAUUUGUAUGAAGAGUGGCAGAAAACUGAUGCUGGAGCAGGAGCAAGUGGCAUGGGGCAGGCAGAGAACUGCUUGGGUCAAUUUUGGUAUUGCAGAAAAUCUAGUGUAAAAAUGCACUGUGACUUGCACCUGAAGAGGAAAGGACAAAAUCCCUUGGCCAACUGAAACAUCUGCGUUAUCCAUUGGAAGCAAGAUGUGUCUUUAGACCAGGCAUGAAAAAAUGUGCGACAAUGAAUAUCAACACGUAACUGAUAAAUAUAUCCUUAUAUAUCAUUAUAACCAAGAUACAAAUUGCACAAGGACAGGAAUUGGUGUUGAAUUCUGUCAGGUUUCUGUUUACUCUGUGAGAAAUCAUUUACCACACACUGAUUAUCAUCAAUUGUAUUGAGUGGAGUAGGUUAAAAAAAAAACAUACCGCAGGAGAAAUCCCAGUUAGGAUUUUUGUCAAGAAGUGUAAUUAACCUGAAGGUAGAAUGAAAGGAUAUUUAAACUCAGGAUCUCUAUGAUAAGAAACACGUUAUAAAUGCUUAGGAGAAUGGAUUAGUAUCAAACAGAGCAAGAUGAGGUAGAUGCUCUCAUUGAUCCGAGCUACAGAAUGGCUAAGUACCAGUAAAUAACAUGAAUUUCCAAAUUCUCGGCAUGUCAUAAAACAUUAAAGAUGAAUCAUGCUGCCAGGACGGGGGCUUUUUUUUUCCAUCUGGUCCUUCUUCUGGCCUUAAGUUGUGCCAGGCGAGGUUCAGGUUGGGUAUUGGGAACAAUUUCUUCUCAGAAGGAGCGAUGAGGCAUUGGCACAGGCUGCCCAGGGAGCUGUCGGAGUCACUGUCCCUGGAAGUGUUCGAGAGAUGUGGGGAUGUGGCACUGAGGACGUGGUCAGUGGGCAUGGUGGGGUUGGGUUGGGGUUGGAAUUGGUGAUCCUGGUGGUCUUUUCCAACCAUAAUGAUUCUAUAUUUCUAUGAUUCUAAGGCUUCCAUAGCCACUUCAAACAUCAGCUAUCUCACAGUUUCAUAAUCUGAUUGAAUCAGUUCUCAUAGUAGUCAAUAGAGAAAAAACAAGGGUAGAAAAUUAAAGAUACCUAAAACUACAGGCCCCAGAACAUGCCUGUCCCCAGAAAGGAAAUCUGCUUAAAGCAAUUAGAAAAGAAAAAAAAAGAGAGACUUUAUUGUCCUAGGGCUUGAUACUGCAUUGUCUUCUAUGGUUAGUUCUACUGACUGCAGGGAGCUAUGAGUAAGAGCACAAGCUGGAGCUCAGUGAGAAAAGAAUUCCACUGCAGAGGGAGACCUUGAUUUUUAAAGUUUCAUAUCAGUAAAUUUAAUAAUUGUCAUUUUUUGUCACUUCAUGCUUAUCUAAUAUAGUAACAGUGACAACUGGCCAUACAUACAUUUUUUUCCACUGCACAACAGAUUUGAUUUAAUUGAAAUGGAAGAGCCUAGACAACCAGCUAAGGAGCAGAUAGUUAUGCUGGCCACAUGACAUCUGAAUUCCAAUGGUGGGCUGUGUUUUAAGCCAGCUCCUGGACAACAUUAGUCUUACAGUGUACAUGGGGAAAAGAGAGACAGAUCAUCAGUCCAUCUCUCUGCAAAUACUAGUCUCUGCAAGGCGUUUUCUGUGAUUUAGAAAGAUCCCAUUCAUGACUUUGUUUUGGGGGUUUUUUGUUUGUUUGUUUGUUUGUUUUCCCCCAGCACUGAUGUCCCAUGACAUAUGAAAUGUACAGCGUUUUCUUGCCAUGAAGUACUGGGCAUAAACAAUGUUAUGUAAGGUGUGCCAUCAUAGCAAGGAGCCAUAUUCUUCAGUGUGUAAGUCCCAGUUGUUAAAUUAGGAUCAUAAGCAGGAUAUGGGUGGAAAGUGGGAAAUACUCCUUUGUUGCCUUACACAGAC